CCUACGGGAGGCUGCAGUGGGGAAUAUUGGGCAAUGGGCGCAAGCCUGACCCAGCAACGCCGCGUGAAGGAAGAAGGCUUUCGGGUUGUAAACUUCUUUUCUCAGGGACGAAGCAAGUGACGGUACCUGAGGAAUAAGCCACGGCUAACUACGUGCCAGCAGCCGCGGUAAUACGUAGGUGGCAAGCGUUAUCCGGAUUUACUGGGUGUAAAGGGCGGGUAGGCGGGAAAGCAAGUCAGAAGUGAAAACCAUGGGCUCAACCUGUGGCCUGCAUUUGAAACUGUUUUUCUUGAGUACUGGAGAGGCAGACGGAAUUCCUAGUGUAGCGGUGAAAUGCGUAGAUAUUAGGAGGAACACCAGUGGCGAAGGCGGUCUGCUGGACAGCAACUGACGCUGAGGCGCGAAAGCGUGGGGAGCAAACAGGAUUAGAUACCCCAGUAGUC
This 443-nucleotide ribosomal RNA is filed under the name uncultured bacterium. RNAcentral describes it as "partial 16S ribosomal RNA". It matches the Rfam family "Bacterial small subunit ribosomal RNA", at positions 338 to 795 of the family's 1533-position model. The record is from RNAcentral.